CGGGCUGGCGCUGAGGGCCUGGGAGGCGAGGCCUAGGCUCGGGGAGGAGGCGGCGGCGGUGGCCCGCUCGGUUCCUGAAGGGCCAGGGCCGACCUAGAGCUUUGGCCAAGCCCCAGGCCUGCAAAUCCCAGAGCCCAGCCAGGUAGGGUGCGAGGGGCGCGGUUAUGGCCCCCCAGGACAGGCAGGAACGUCUCCUGGCCCUCACUGCCUGGUCUCGGCCCUGCAGUGGGGGUUAAGAGCAGCUUGUCUUAGUCUGGGGCAGAGCCGCCCGCCUGAAGGAGGAGCCCAUGCUGGGGGCCACCAAGUACCCUGGCAGGUUUGCUCAGGAAGCUGUCGUUGGGGUCACGGGGUCUGAAAGGGGAGCUGGGUCGGGCUUGGUCAGCAGAGGGGCUCCUGGACCCGGAGGGCGGCCGUUUCUCAGGGCCGGGCCGAGUCUGGAACUUGGAGGUGGGGAAGCGUCUCCCAGGACCGGCCCUGUCAGCCCUCCUGCACCCUCCUGCUGCCCUGACCUUCUCCCCGCUCCGCUCCGUGACAUAGACCCGGCCCUACUGUGUGCAGGAGCGCUUGGGGCCUUCCCCAAACCCGCCAGGGGCACACCUCAGCUCCGAAGCCCGAACCCCGCACGGGGCAGGGGCAGCCGCGGCAGAUCCCUGCCCCCCAGGUCUCUCCCCUGAGAGCAGUGACUGCCGCGGUCCCUACAGCUUUGUGUACAGCUGGAAUCUGGAAGAGCAGCAGAGGAAGGGGAACUCUUCUCAUUUUCCAAAACGAUCCAACGAUUGUUCCAGAACCGUUUUUCGAGCGCUGAGCUGCCUUGCGAACUUCUAGAUCGGCUUAAAGACGACGCAAUGUUGGGAUUGCCCAGGAAAUGGGAGCUGGGGCGAAGGAGAAACGCCAGAUCCCUGGCCCUGGGGACCAGGGCACCAGAUCCAGACCUCCCAGCCUAUCCUGUGUGCUCUGGGGCUGCCCCGGCAGAUGGCAGGUUCCUCCAAAGAAGUUAUAUGGACAAAAUUAAUCAGGAAGGCUACCGAAGACAUAAGCAACAUAAUCAGUAAGGGGCCGGCCCAGUGGCUCAGGGGUUAAGUUCCCACGUUCCACUUCUGGCAGCCUGGGGUUCGCCGGUUCGGAUCCUGGGUGUGGACAUGGCACCGCUUGGCAAAAGCCAUGCUGUGGUAGGUGUCCCACAUAUAAAAUAGAGGAAGAUGGGCACGGAUGUUAGCUCAGGGCCAGUCUUCCUCAGAAAAAACAGGAGGAUUGGCAGUAGUUAGCUCAGGGCUAAUCUUCCUCAAAAAAAAAAAAAAAGUCUUUCCAUUUGGAAAUUUAAAAAGACCUCUUUAUUACAUAAUUAGGAAGAAUAUAACUAAAAUUGAAGAAAUUCUAAAAAUUAAUGAUAAUGGAAACACUAUGUACCAGAAUCUAUUGGAAACAAUUACAGAAAGAAAAGAUCACAGCUUUAAAUACUUUUAUCCAAUAAAAAUUUCAAAAUGAAAAUAGGUAAAUG
RNAcentral lists this long non-coding RNA (1498 nucleotides) under Equus asinus (donkey). RNAcentral's name for it is "lncRNA (ENSEASG00005026460.1)". Lineage: Eukaryota; Metazoa; Chordata; Mammalia; Perissodactyla; Equidae. The record is from RNAcentral.